Molecule: non-coding RNA, 45 nt
Filed under: Schistosoma mattheei
Lineage: Eukaryota; Metazoa; Platyhelminthes; Trematoda; Strigeidida; Schistosomatidae
Source: RNAcentral
GUCCGACUGACGAGUCCCAAAUAAAGCGAAAUGCUCGUCUCGAAU